This 497-nucleotide ribosomal RNA is filed under the name uncultured bacterium. Its description in RNAcentral is "partial 16S ribosomal RNA". It matches the Rfam family "Bacterial small subunit ribosomal RNA", at positions 28 to 507 of the family's 1533-position model. The record is from RNAcentral.
GAUGAACGCUGGCGGCGUGCCUAAUACAUGCAAGUCGAGCGAACAGACGAGGAGCUUGCUCCUCUGACGUUAGCGGCGGACGGGUGAGUAACACGUGGAUAACCUACCUAUAAGACUGGGAUAACUUCGGGAAACCGGAGCUAAUACCGGAUAAUAUAUUGAACCGCAUGGUUCAAUAGUGAAAGACGGUUUUGCUGUCACUUAUAGAUGGAUCCGCGCCGCAUUAGCUAGUUGGUAAGGUAACGGCUUGCCAAGGCAACGAUGCGUAGCCGACCUGAGAGGGUGAUCGGCCACACUGGAACUGAGACACGGUCCAGACUCCUACGGGAGGCAGCAGUAGGGAACCUUCCGCAAUGGGCGAAAGCCUGACGGAGCAACGCCGCGUGAGUGAUGAAGGUCUUCGGAUCGUAAAACUCUGUUAUUAGGGAAGAACAAAUGUGUAAGUAACUAUGCACGUCUUGACGGUACCUAAUCAGAAAGCCACGGCUAACUACGUG